Molecule: ribosomal RNA, 253 nt
Filed under: uncultured bacterium
Lineage: Bacteria
Description: partial 16S ribosomal RNA
Rfam family: Bacterial small subunit ribosomal RNA
Source: RNAcentral
UACGUAGGGUGCAAGCGUUAAUCGGAAUUACUGGGCGUAAAGCGUGCGCAGGCGGUUGUGUAAGCCCGAUGUGAAAUCCCCGGGCUUAACCUGGGAAUGGCAUUUGGGACUGCAAGGCUGGAGUGUGGCGGAGGAGACUGGAAUUCCCGGUGUAGCAGUGAAAUGCGUAGAUAUCGGGAGGAAUACCGAUGGCGAAGGCAGGUCUCUGGGCUGACACUGACGCUCAUGCACGAAAGCGUGGGGAGCAAACAGG